RNAcentral lists this long non-coding RNA (275 nucleotides) under Solanum tuberosum (potato). RNAcentral describes it as "long non-coding RNA (STUB_LNC011543)". Lineage: Eukaryota; Viridiplantae; Streptophyta; Magnoliopsida; Solanales; Solanaceae. The record is from RNAcentral.
AAAGAGAGAAAACUUGCUUCCCACAAACUCUUAAAAAGAGAAGGAGAUAAAAAUAUUAUGUUUGGUGAUUUGGUGCAUUGUAAAAGGCUUCAGAAAUUAAGGUACUUAUGUGUUUUAGGGUUGAUGAGGAUUUACAUGCAAUUAAUAGGAUAACCAGGGGAAGAGAGAUCGGACUUGAUGAGAUUUUGGUGGACUUUUAGAAGAGCACAAACAAGUUAGGUAUGAAGUAGUUAACUGAAUUAUUUGAUACUAUGUUUUAGAUGACGAAACGGCCC